GCUUUAGUCCUUGUCACUGCACUGAAAAAAUUCUUGUCAAGAUCACUAGUGACCUUCAGAGAGCCAAACCCAAUGGUCAUUUCUUUGUUCUAUUCCUACUCUCUGCAUCAGCAGUAUUGACAUAUUACUCCUUCCUUGAUGCAUUUUCAUUUGGCUUUUUGGAAUAAUUCUCUUUCAGUUAUCCUCCAUCUUCACCACUCAUGUUUUUCUAGUUUUUUAUUAUUGUUCGUUUGGUUUUUUUUUGUUUGUUUUUUCUGGUUCUUCCUUACCUGUCAAAUUCUCCUCUGUCGACAUCCACUUCUUGUGUUAGCUCAUUCAGGGUCUUGGAUUUCAGUGUCAUCUGUAUUUGGAUGACUUCAAAUUUGUAUCUUCUGCCUGAACCUCUAAAUUCCAGGCUUAUAUAUCCAGUUCUCUCCUUGACAUCUCCAUCUGGAAGUCUAAUAAGUACAUCAAACUUAAGUCCACUAUCAAGCUCUUGCACCAGCUGCUUUCACCCAUCCAAUCCUGCUUCAGUUGAAGUCAUCCCACACACUGUAAAUGGCAACUGUAUUUUUCCAGAUCUGCCAACCAAAAACUUGAGAGCCAUCCUCUUCUCGACACUGCAUCCAAUCUGACAGUAAAUUCUUGAGGCUCCUUCACAAUGUAUCUAAAAUUUGAUUGCUUUUUAUCUCCUUUGUAGUCAGCGCUGUAGUCCAAGCCACAAACAUCUCUUCUCUAGGUGACUGUCAUAGUCCCCGAACUGUUUUUUCUGCUUCACUUCUGUCCCCUGAGUCUAUUCUGCACACAGAAGACACAGUCACGCUCUAGAAGCCUUUGUCAGAUCAUUAUACUCCUCUCUCCACAGUGCUCAGAGUACUCACAUCGUCCUUCAAGGAGCUACAUGACCUACCCACAGCACACCCACAGGUUAUAUCAAAGCACACCACCAGCCUUCUGCCCUUGUCUCCUUCCACUUUUCCCCUCACUGUGUCUUAGCACUCACCCCAGGGCCUUUGCACUUGCUAUUUUCUCUACUUGCAGUUUUCUUCUCCCACAUGUCCACAGAGCCUACCCGUUCAACUCUCUUCAGAACUUUGCUCAAAUGUCACUUUCCUUAUAAGACUUUUCCAGACCCCCUUGCACAAAGCAGUGCCCUUCCCCACCCCAUCUCAAUUUUCUCCAUAGCACUAACCUUCAUCCAGCAUAUAUAUAGUUAGGUGUUUCUUUAUUUGACUUCUCCCAAUAGAGUAUAAGCUCCAUAAGGACAUGGACUUUGUUGUAUUAACUAACUCUUCCCCAGGGUCUAGGACUAUAUCUGGCACUUGGUAGGUACUUGAUGUGUAUUGACUGAAUGAAUGAGUUGAUGAAUUUUUUUAAAAUGGCCUCACCCACGCCAUAUUGAAGUUCCCAAACUAGGGAUUGCAUCCGAGUCACAGCUGCGACCUAGGUCUCAGCUGCAGCAAUGUAGGAUCCUUAACCCACUGGGCCAGGAUGGAGAUCAAACUGAUGUCUCCAAAGUGAACAGAGCUACUGCAGUCAGAUUCCAAACCCACUGUGCCACAGUGGGAACUCUGAGUUGAUGUAAACAUAACAAUACAAACUAUCCUUCCUCUUCCUCCAACUAUACCAUGGUUUGCUGGUUAAUUAGGAUAAGCUACCUUCAUCCUGUUCUGGAAUUUCUCUGUGAUACCUUAUUCUCCUCAGUUCAGAGAGUUUACAGCACAUUAUUGUGGAACCCUUCUUAUUUUACAAACUGGUCUUUGUUUAGCUCCUAAUCAUGCUAGUUGUUAUUGCCAUCCCCCUAAAGGGAAUGAAGCCCAGAAUUUAUGUACAAAGACUAUUUAAAUGGGUUUAAUUAAAGUGGGAAAAAAAGAACAUGUGUAUGUAUGUGUUAUGUGUUUAUCAAAAAAUGUAGUCAUCUUUGACCUCAGCUGACCUUCAUUGAUGUCUGAGAAAAUUCUUCUAUUUAGUAUAACUAAUUUAUAUCAGAUGUGCUUUUCUCCUUUCCAUUUGUUAAGAAAGAAGCUAUAAAACAGUGGUCUUUUCAGAUAUUAUACUUCUCCCAAAGGAGCAGAAAAGGGACCACCAAACCAUCAGAGAAAGAUAUUAUGAAGUGGUAUAACUUGAAAUAUUAUUUUGAGCAAUAUGAAGACAAUGCAUCUCAUUAGAUUUUUUUUUCCAGUAAGAAUAUAGGACAUCCAUAUCCCAUGUUGAUUUCAGCAUCACAGAACUAGACUGAUUGAAAUUCAGCCUAUUUCCAAUUUGUAAUGAAAUGUAAUUGUGGCUUUUCUUUUAAUUUUUAUCUGGCAAGUAGUAAUCUUACCAUUGACAUCAAUGGGGAAAAAAAGUGUCUUCGCUUGGCAGGAAGCAUUUAUGGCCGUAUAUAAUGCAGAUAAGUUUAUUUGAGAAUGUAGACAGCUUUCUAGACAAUCACUGGAGAUAGGACCUUAAUUUAACCCCAAGCCUGAAGCAUUUCCUCUGGGAUGUGGAUGACAGGUAACAUGGCGGAGGGCAGAGAAAGUAUAGAUUUAUUGAAAAAUGGAUAUUGCAAGCAGGGAGUGUUAAAUUUCUUCCUCUAAAUCAUUGUUUAAAAGGACAGACUUAGAUUCUUGCUUCAGGAUGAAAACCCUAAAUGUUGGAAGAGAGAGAAAUUUUUUAAAUCGUAGGUAGUUGGCAUUUUCGACAUUUCAUUUCAAAAGAUAAGUGAUGUACUUACUUCUAGCUCAUCUUGCAAUAAGACGACAUGACAACACUUGCUUUUAAUAUCCUCUACACAGGAUACCUGGGUGAUUUCUCAUUUAAAGAAAAUGAGUCCUUUACUGAUAGUUUGGUAAUCUUUCCUGUGGGAGCAACAGAAAAAAAAAAAAUCUAUUCAUGGCACUAAUGAACAUCAUAUAAUAACCAGCUUCUUUAAAUGGUGGGGUAAAUAGAUCUUUAUUAACAAAGAUUAUGUAUUAUGUGUUUCUAUAUCACGAUCUUCAAGAAUAACCUUUUAACAAAGUGAAUAAAUAAACCAUAAUGGGUUUCUUGCCCUUUCCUAAGCAAAAUAUCAAGAACUUCUGCAAGGGCAGAGGUUAAGUAACUCCUUUAUUUACUAAUGAUAAAAUUAAUUGUGUGAAACACUCUACCAGGUUGGAAAAGGAAUUUUUCUUUUAACUAACACUUGGCCCUCACAGUGAUUUUUAAAAAACGUAAUUCUUCAAAUAAUGCUUAUCCUUAUCUCUCUUAUAAGAGUUAGUUAAAUUCAUUAUUGCACGCAAAACACUGGCUAUAUUCCAUUUUAAAUGGCCAGCUAAGAACAGUAAAUAACUGUUCUUUAUUGGGGCCGCUCAGAGUAGUAGUUUCAAUAUCCAUUAAUAGUAAAUUUUCCUUAUUAUCCCUUUCAUCGGGUUGAACUAACCAAGUGGCAGAGUUCUGCGGCUAAUUAUAAAAUAGCCUACAUUAUAGAAGAAUUAAAACAGCAAAUGAAUCAUCGGGAGAGCUGCCAUGGUUUUUCUAACAUUCUCCACACACGCCUUGUGAAUUUUAAUAUAUAAUUUUAAUUACGCAAUUCUUCGCAGCACACUCUUCUCAUUACUUAGGCAGCGUGUAUGUGUGUUUCUUUUACCUUGAUUACAAAGUCAAACCAUUUUCGCUGAAAUUAAAAAUAUCUGUGUAUUUAUAGAGAAAACAGAGGGCUGUGUUUUGAUGAGGCCUCCAGAGGAAGAGGGCAAAGCGUAACCCUAUAAGGAAAGGAAGCCUGCCUGGUCCUCGUAUCAGACGCCGGCUAACGAAAUCCUCAGAGGGUUUGUUACAUGAGCCAGUGGGCUGAGGCAACCUUUAACAUGCAGGAAACUGGAGUUAAUUAAACCGUUACCAGGAUCCUAUCUGUCAUCCUAGCCCUGUGCUCUAUCCCAGGUCCAUUUACAUUUUAGAAUUGAAAAAAUGUUCUCAGGACUGUUGAUAAACCAUGUUUACUGUCUCCAUUGAUUUGCUACUUUUGCAUAACCUUUAUGUUUUAAUUAUCUUAUAGUAUUUCUGGAAGGCUCUUGUGUAGCAGCCACUAUCUGAUUAGACUUUGCUGGCAAUUAGGAGACACUAGGAGUACACCUUUUAAUGGAUUAAUCUGCUUCAGAGUUAUUAGAUGACUGCAGGAGUGAAACUGCUAAGAAAAAAUAAUGCACCAUUAUGGAAAGGCUGUUUUCAAACCACAGUUGUGCUUACUGUAGAGCAGACAGCCUCAGAUUAUUUUCCUGCUUUAUUCAGUAGAAGGCCUAAGGGGGGGGGAUUAUUUUGCAGAUAGUAUGUCAGAAAAAAAUCAUACACCAGGUGGCUAUCAAUGGAUAAUUAAGAUAAAGAUUUAACACCUGGUGAGCUUGCAUUCUGUGAAAGACUUGAGGCCAGACCUUUUCCUAAUAUAAAUAUUUUUAUUGAAUGAGAUCUUAGCAUAACAUACAUGAAAAUAGCAAGGUGUGCUUAUUCAUUUUACCUAAUGUUUUUUGAGUGUUUUACAGUGUAUCAGGCACUGUACUACGAACUAAUUACACAAACCAUCUCAAGAUUAUAGAAUCAUAUUAGCUCACUUUACACAAGAAGAAACAGAGGCACAGAGAGAUUCAGUCACGUGCCUGAGAUCACAAAGCCUGCAGGUGGAUUUCCAAUUUAGGGGAUCUGAUUCUAGAACUCCGUAGCUUAACCCUGGGUAAUAUCUGAUGGGAUAUAUAUUUCAAUAAUCCUGAACAUCACUAAAAGAAGAAUGAUGAGGCCAAAUUAUUCUUAGACAUUUUAAUAUCC
Molecule: long non-coding RNA, 4752 nt
Filed under: Sus scrofa (pig)
Lineage: Eukaryota; Metazoa; Chordata; Mammalia; Artiodactyla; Suidae
Description: lncRNA (ENSSSCG00035036249.1)
Source: RNAcentral